RNAcentral lists this ribosomal RNA (382 nucleotides) under uncultured Brevundimonas sp. RNAcentral's name for it is "bacterial SSU rRNA". It matches the Rfam family "Bacterial small subunit ribosomal RNA", at positions 477 to 859 of the family's 1533-position model. Lineage: Bacteria; Pseudomonadati; Pseudomonadota; Alphaproteobacteria; Caulobacterales; Caulobacteraceae. The record is from RNAcentral.
ACCCGGAGAAGAAGCCCCGGCUAACUUCGUGCCAGCAGCCGCGGUAAUACGAAGGGGGCUAGCGUUGCUCGGAAUUACUGGGCGUAAAGGGAGCGUAGGCGGACAUUUAAGUCAGGGGUGAAAUCCCGGGGCUCAACCUCGGAAUUGCCUUUGAUACUGGGUGUCUUGAGUAUGAGAGAGGUGUGUGGAACUCCGAGUGUAGAGGUGAAAUUCGUAGAUAUUCGGAAGAACACCAGUGGCGAAGGCGACACACUGGCUCAUUACUGACGCUGAGGCUCGAAAGCGUGGGGAGCAAACAGGAUUAGAUACCCUGGUAGUCCACGCCGUAAACGAUGAUUGCUAGUUGUCGGGAUGCAUGCAUUUCGGUGACGCAGCUAACGCA